CCUACGGGAGGCUGCAGUGAGGAAUAUUGGUCAAUGGACGAGAGUCUGAACCAGCCAAGUAGCGUGAAGGAUGACUGCCCUAUGGGUUGUAAACUUCUUUUAUAUGGGAAUAAAAUGUUCCACGUGUGGGAUUUUGUAUGUACCAUAUGAAUAAGGAUCGGCUAACUCCGUGCCAGCAGCCGCGGUAAUAUGGAGGAUCCGAGCGUUAUCCGGAUUUAUUGGGUUUAAAGGGAGCGUAGGUGGAUUGUUAAGUCAGUUGUGAAAGUUUGCGGCUCAACCGUAAAAUUGCAGUUGAAACUGGCAGUCUUGAGUACAGUAGAGGUGGGCGGAAUUCGUGGUGUAGCGGUGAAAUGCUUAGAUAUCACGAAGAACUCCGAUUGCGAAGGCAGUUCACUGGACUGCAACUGACACUGAGGCUCGAAAGUGUGGGUAUCAAACAGGAUUAGAUACCCUUGUAGUC
This 460-nucleotide ribosomal RNA is filed under the name uncultured bacterium. Its description in RNAcentral is "partial 16S ribosomal RNA". It matches the Rfam family "Bacterial small subunit ribosomal RNA", at positions 338 to 795 of the family's 1533-position model. The record is from RNAcentral.